CACAAUAUCUCUGAGGUAAGUCUAUAUGUGCAUUUUUGUAGGUUAGCACUUGGAAUUAAGCAGAUGCCUUGUACCCCCAAAAGUCUGCUCCUGUGACCCGGCCUCUCCAGAGACAUGCCCUGUUUCUGGUCCCUAGCUACCCUAACCCGCGCUGCCCACAAAUGUGCAGACUGCACUCUCUCAGCUGGCCUUCGGUUGUUGGCAUCCUCCAGGCCUAUUGGGCUCAGGCUGGUCUCCGAAACCUGCAUAGCCUCCAGGAUGGAAAGUGCCCACUCCUCAAAAAUCUUUCUGCGGUAGUAGCUUUAAACCAAUGACGAGCAGUCUGCAUUUGGAUUGACUGCCUGAUGUGGUCCUGGUCUUAGUCAGCCAUCAACGCUCCCAGGUGUCUAUUCUUGGACGGUACCCAACAGUUCUGGCUGUUCCAUGCUGGCAGGUUCGUGCACUUUCCUCCACCUCUGCCUUCAGGAGAAAUAUGCACAUUUGUGUAAAAUAAGGCUUGGAAUUAGACAGAUGCCAGGUACUAGAAAAAAGACUGCUUCUGUGAUCUGGCCUCACCCUGUUCCAGGUUCCUGGCCACGCUGACUUGUGUGACAUGCACAUGGGCAGUGCGUCCCCUGUCAUCCAUCCUUGGGUAGCCAGAACCCUCUAGGCCUGUGGAGCUAGGGCCUACACUUAACCAACUGCACAUCUUCAGGAAUGGAGGGAGACCUCCCCCUGAAAACCAUUCUGAGACAACCACUGAAAUGGGUGACUGGGGACCCCAUGUGGACCUACUGUCUGCUGGAGUCCCAGGCUUCGGGCGGCAAUCAAGGCUUCCAGGUGUCUCUUCUUGGAGACCACACAUUCCAUCCCUGGCAAGACAACCCAGAUUACUCAGGCUCUGCCAUCAGUGGGAAUAGGCACAUUUGUGUAGAUUAUGGCUUGGAUUAGGUAGAUGCUUUAUAACCCCCAGGGCCUACUCCAGUGACCUGGCCUCUCCAGAUGCCUUGCCCUGUUUAGGUCCUUGGCCACCCUGACCCAUCUCACCUGUGCAUGCUUACUUUGUUUGCAUGCACUUUUUUGCACUCUUGGGCAGACUCGGCACUGAAGCCCGUGGAACUCUGGCCAGGCGCCAACCACCUGCAUAGCCUCUGGUGUAGUGGGAGCCCACCUCCUGAAAAUCACUCUGAGAUGGCAACUGGAAAUGGCUAACAGUGUUUCUAUGGAUUUGCUUCCUUACUUGAGGCUUCAAUGGAGACUAGUGCUUCCAGGUGUUUCCUAAUGGAGGCUACCCUGCCCUGCCUGCCUGGCUCCUUCCUGGCAAGGAAGUUGAAAAACUUCCAGCUCUGCCUUGGAGGGGGAGAAUUGUAUACAAUGGUAGGUAGGCCUUGCAAUUAGGCUAAAGUUUUUUCUACCCCCAAAGAACCUGUGGGGGUUCUCCUCUCAGUUCUCAGUUCUCCUGUGUGAGAACCUCUCCCAACCCUUUUCCAGGACCCUGGCCACAGGCACAUGUGAGUCUGGCACAUACACAGCACACGCACUGACAGCUGCCCUUGGGCAGAAAGGCCCUCCAGGCCUUUGGAGCUUGGGCCCAUCCCUUACUACCUGCAUUGCAAAAAGUGGAGGAAGCCCACCCUCCACCCCCCAAAAUCACUCUAAGGUGUUAGCUGAAAUGGGAGACUGCCAGUCUCCUUGUGGACUGCUUGCCAGAUGUGGUCCUGGGCUUGUGCUGUAGUCGGGCUCCCAGGUGUCUCUCUUUGGAGGAUACGUUGGUGAGCCAAACCAAUGUAGACCUUGCAAAGCAGUCCAGAUUCACUCAGCUCUGCCUUCAGGUGAAUAUGUGCAUUUGUGUACCAGAAGGCUUGGGAUUAGGCAGAUCAGUUACCUCCAAUAGUCCCCUCCCCUGCCUGGGCCUCACCUGACAUUGACCUGUUCCUGGCUACUCUGAUCCGUGAAGAUAUCCUUCAAUAAGAGGCACUUAGGGUUCUUGAUUGCUGCAGAAGCCUCCAACCCCAUCAUGCAGCCAGGCCAUGUGGGCUGACUGUAGCCAGUUUAAAGCUGCUUCCUCAGAAAGAUUUUUGGUGGUGAGCUACAUCCACCCAAAAUGCUAUGUAGGUGAUUGGGGACUUGGCGUGAAAUCCUAGGCCUGUUGGGCACUGGCUGCCUGGGCAGGCUGACAGGUGCGUACUGCACAUGCAUGGGCCGUGCAGGUAGCCAGGGACAGGUGUAUGCGGAAGCCAGAUAACAGGUGCAGGCUAUAGGGGCUAUAACAUAUCUCCCUAAUUCCAGGCUCUAACAUAGACAAAUCUGCCUGUUCAACUGGGGGUAGAACUGGAGGAAUCUAGAUGACCUUACCAGGGUGGGGAUGCACGGGAUGGUCAGGUACACCCAAAUGUGUACUGACAGUCCUCAAUGUAAAAUGGAGCCUCAGAAAUACUUUCAGCUGGUGGGCUCCCUACACCCUGAGACCACUCAGGCGGUUGAUGUCCUACCAGAGCUCCAUGGACCUGGAGUGCCCCUGCAAAUGCUAACAGUGUGCAGACGGCACAUUCAUCGUCCGUGCAGGUCAGGGUGGCCAGGACGAUAUCCUGAAGCGCCUGUUCACAGGGAGAAGCAUUGGGGGUUCCUGACAUCUGCCUAAUUCAAAGCAUUCACCUACACAAAUGCUCAUAUUCCACCUGAGGGCAGAGCUGGAGGAAUUUGGACAGACCUGCCAAAGUGGGUCGGCCCAGGAUAGUUAGGGUACUCUCUAAGAAGAAACACCUGGGAGCCUUGGAUCCCUGGAUUCAGGUAACACCUGGAGAAGCCUAGGAUUACAUCGGGCAAUCCAUUCCAAAUGGGGACUAUCUGUUGCCAAUUAAAUCUGCAGCCUCAGAAGAUUUAUAAGGAGUGUGCACUCUCCACAUUGGAGCUUGUGAAGGUUUUGGAGAAAGGCCUAAGCCCAACAGACCUAGGGGGCCUGGGCACCCAAAGGCCAGCUGACAAAGUACAGACUGCAUGUUUAUACGUAGCACGGGGCAGGGGAGACAGGGACAUAAAACAUGACAGCUGUAGGGAGAGGCUGGGUCCCAGGAGCAGGUUACUGGGGGUACUUGCUUCUAAUUCCAAGUGCUAAUUUUCACAAAUGUUCAUGUUUCCCCUGAAGGCAGAGCUGGAGGAAUCUGGACUGCUUUGCUAGGGUGAGUCCACACAAGAUGGUUGGUGUAUACUCCGAGAAGAGAUAUCUGGGAGACUUGCUUGAUGGGGAACCCCAGGACCCCACCAGGCAGCCAGUCCACAUGGAGACCGAUUGUCACCAGUUUAAAUCUACUGCCUCAGAAAGAUUUUUCUAGUGUGGGCUCCCUCCACCCCAAGGCAAUGCAGGUGGUUGGGGGUCCUCCUGGAGCACCAGGGGCCUGGAGUGCCCCCUUCAGCCAAGGGCCAGCUGAGGAGGUACAGAUUGUACAUAUGUAGGCUGUGCAGGUCCAAGUAGCCAGGGGCUUGUAAUAGGGCAACUGUAAGGAGAAGCUGGGUAACAGGAGCAGGCUAGUUGGGGUACUUGCUUAAUUACUGCUUAAUUCCAAGUCUUACUUUAAAGAAAUGAGCAUAUUCCCCCUAAAGGCAGAGCGGGAGGAAAGUGGGCUGCCUUGCUAGAAUGGGGCCAGGAUGACUGACCAGGAUCUCCUCUAAUAAGAGGUACCUGAAAGCCUUGAUUGCUGGAGCAGCCAGGGGCCCCAUCUGACGCUGGUACUGACUGUUUAAAGCCAGUUUAAAGCUGUCACCUCAGAAUUUCAGGGGCGGGAUUCCUCUGCCCAGGAGGCUGUGCGGGUGGUUGGGACCAACCAACUCCACUGGCCUGGAGGGCACCAGCUGCCCUUGGUGGGCUGAUGAGGUGCCUACUCUGCAUGUGCAAGCUUUGCAGGUCAGAGACCAGUGAUAGGGCAAGUGUCUGGAGAGGCUCGGUCAUAAGAUCAAGCUGUUGGGGGUACGGGGAUCAGCUUAAUAAUUCCAAACCCUAACCUAUUCAAACAUGCAUACAUAUUCCACCCAAAGGUACAGCUGGAGGAGUCUGGACUGACUUGCCAAGAUGGGGCCUGGUGUGCUGCUGUGGUAUCCUCUGGUAAGAGAUAUCUGUAAGCCUUGAUUCCUGGUAAACCUAAGACCCCAUUGAGCAGCCCAUCCAAAAGGGUUCUGACUGUUGACAGUUUAAUUUUUUUUUAAUGUUUAUUUUUUUUUUUUGAAAGAGAGAGACAGUGUGAAUGGAGGAGGGGCAGAGAGAGGGAGAGACAGAAUCUGAAGCAGGCUCCAGGCUCAGAGCUGUCAGCACGGAGCCCGACGCAGGGCUCAAACCCACGAACCGUGAGAUUGUGACCUCAGCCAAAGCUGGAUGCUUAACUGACUGAGCCACCCUGGAGCCCUAUGACAGUUUAAAGCUGCCAUCGCACAAAGAUUUCUGGGAAGUUGGCUCCCUCCACUCUGAAGACUCUACUGGUUUGGGAGACUAACCCAAGCUCUGCCAGCCUGGAGGACCCUGACUGGCCUCAGCAGGUUGACAGGGUGUGUUACUACACAUGUGCAAGCAGCACAGAUUUGGGAAGCCAGGGACCUGGAACAGGGCAAGUUUCUGGAGAGACACAGGAUCGGUCUGUUGGGGUUUCAAGGCAUCUACCUCAUUGUAAGUUUAGCUUACACAAAUGUGCAUAUUCUCCCUUAGGGCAGAGCUAGAGGAAUCUGGACUGCCUUGCCAGGGUGGGCCUGCACAGGAUGGUCUGGGUACCCUCCAAUAAGAGACACCCAGGAGGCUUAAUUGAUGGAGAAGCCUGGGACACCAUCAGUCAGCCAUCCAAGUGGGUAUUAACAGUCCCCAGUUUAAAAAGAAGCCUCAAAAAUACUGCUUUGUGGGCUUUCUACACCCAAAGGCCAUUCAUUCUGGGGGUUGGGGUCCUGCUGAGCUGCAUGGCCUGGAGUGCCCCUUAUAGCCCAAUGCAUGCUUCUAGGGUGUGAUCUGAGCAUGCACAACCUCAGCAGGUCAGGGUUGCUAGGGUCCUGGAACAGGCCGGUUUGCAGGAGGGGGAUAUUGGCAGUACCUGGAAUCUGCCUAAUUCCAAGCCUUCACCUAUACAAAGGUGCAUAUUCCCCCCAAAGACAGAACUGGAAGAAUCUGUGCUGCCUUACCAGGGCUGCAUAGAGAAGAAUGGUCAAGGUACCCUUUAAUAACAGACACCUGGGAACUUUAAAGGGCUGGAGAAGCCAGGGACCAAUCAGGUAUUCAGUCCGAUGCUGCUGUCACCAGAUUAAAGCUGCAGCCUCAGAAAGACAUAAGGAAUGGGCACUCUCCACCCUGGAGGCUAGGCAGGUUUUGAAGGACAGCCUGAAUCCAACAGGCUCAGAGGGCUUCGGUAGGCAAAGGCCAUCUGACAGAGCGUACACUGUGCGUGCAUGGGUGGCACAGGUUGGGGGAGCCAGGGACCUGAACCAGGGCAGCUGCAGGAAGUGGCUGGGUCCCAGGAGCAGGCUCCUUGCAUCUAAUUCCAAGUGCUGAUUUUCACAAAUGUGCAUAUUCCCCCUGAAGGCAGGGCUGGAGGAACCUGGACUGCCUGACCAGGGUGAGUCCACACAGGGUGGUUGGGGUAUACUCCAAGAAGAGAGAUACUUGGGAGCCCUCAUUGCUGGGGAGCUCCAGGACCCCAUCAGGCAGCCAGUCCACAUGGCAACUGACUGUCACCGGUUUAAAUCUGCCUCAGAAAGGUUUUCCUGAUGUGGACUCCCUCCACCAUGAGGCCAGGCAGGUAGCUGUGGUGUUUCCAGAGCUUCAGGCACCUGGACUGCAGCUCUGUCGCCUAUGGCCAGCUGGACGAAAGUGGAUGGCCUUGUCAACGUGGGGCUGGGCCCACAGGCCAGGGUCUCCCCAGUAUGAGACACCUGGAAGACUUGUAAACUCAGGACCCCAUCAAGCAGCCAGUCCAAAUGGGGACUGUCACCAGUUAAAAGCUACCAUCUCAGAAUUUGGGGAGGUGGACACCCUCUGCGCUGAUGGCGAUACAAGUGGUUCAGACCCACCCUAGUUCUGCUGGCCUGGAAGGCCAUGGCUGCCCUGGUCAAGUUGAUGGGGUGUGUGUUACACAUUUUCAAGCUGCUCAGGUCAGGGUAGGCAGGAACCUAGAAGAGGGUGAGUAUCUGGAGAGGUUGGACCAUGGGAGUACAUGCUGAAUGUCCAAGGAAUCUGCCUAAUUCCAAGCACUAAUCUACACAAAUGCACAUAUUCCCCUUGGGGGCAGAGCUGGGGGGAUCUGGUCUGCCUGCCAGGGCAGGUGAGGCAGGAUGGUCUAGGAACCCUCCCCUAAGAGACUUCACGACCUCACAGUUUGUGGGUUCCAGCCCUACAUCAGGCACUGCACUGACAGUGUGGAAGCCUUCUUGGGAUUCUCUUUCCCUCUCUCCCUGCUUCCUCUCCCACUCACACUUUUUCUCUCUCUCUCAAAAAUAAAUAAACUAAAAAAAAAAAAGAAAAAAAGAUAUCUAGGAGCCUUGAUUGCUAGAGAAGCUCAAGAAAGCAUCAGACAGCCAGUCCAAAUGGGGACUGACUACUGCCAGUUUAAAUCUGUGGCCUUGGAAAAUUUUUCUCAGUAUGGGCUCCCCCCACCCUGAGGCUUUUCAGUUGAUUGGAUUCACCCAGAGCUCCAGGGGCCUGGAUGGCCACCUGCAGCCCAAGGCCAGCUAACAAGGUGUGAACUGGGUAUGGGUGGGACAAGCAGGUCAGGGUAGCCAGGGACCUGGAAUGGGCAAGUGUUGGGAGAGGCCAGGUCACAAGUGUGGGCCAUUGUAAGUCCAAGGCAUCUGUUUAAUCCAAGCCCUAACCUAUAAAAUGUACAUGUGGGGGCAAAUGGCAGAAUGCCCCCAAAAUGUGCCACUUCAGCAUAUUAUUUUGGAUUAAAGUCACUUAGGAAACAGCCAGUACAAGAAUAACACUCCCAACAGCUUUGUCUCUAGAAAGCGGGAAAUAAAUCUCCCAUGUGAAAAGUACCCUCCCUGUACCAGGAUGUAAAGAUAAAUUUUAAUCACCAGAUAAGGAAUUCAGAGAUAAGAAGGCUGUGUAAACAUCUUGUUACUUUUACUAAUUGACUACCCUAGCUCAAAUUCUGUUAGAAUUUCUUUAAAACUGAAGCUUGUGAACCUAAGUUUUCUUUGUCUCAUCAAUUUCUCACAGAUUUAUUGAUUCUUUGAUUAUAAAGCAUGAAAAUGCCUGCUUUGGUUAAUUCAUCGAGUCUCAAAUUUAAUAUCAGCCCUCCUUGUGCAUAUAAUUAAACUAUUUUUCUCCUGUUAAUCUGUCUCUUGUCAAUUUAAUUCUUAGAUCACCUAGAAGAACCUUGAAGGUAGAGAAUCGUUCUUCCUCCUCAACAGUUGGCAUAGCCAGCAGGAUAAACUUUAGCUGGCUGGACACUGCUGCGGCUGAGAGAUUAUGGGACAUCUGACAAAAGCUGGCACGAGGGAAGAAUCCCCGUCACCACAUCAGCCAACUGGAUCUCUGCCUGCCAGGUCUCGUGCAAGUGAGAGUGAUGUGAGUCCUUUUUCUCUCUCUUCCUAAAUCUAAGUUAGCAGGAGAAAACAUUUGUGGAACUAGUGCCUUGGCUCUAAUGGCUCUGGUGCAUUUGGUAGAGUUCUCUUGGCUUGGCACAUCGAUUUCCACCCAGAGAUGACCACAGCUUUUCUUUAUCAUUGUAUUUUGUGUCAUUUGUCAUCAAAAUGAGUUACCAUAGGAGAGCACACAGACAUAGUCCCGGUCAGCCUGUUGUUCGAGGUGGCCUCACAGACUGGUGAGGUCACAGUUACCAUCACAUCUGUAUCUGUUUAGACAAACUUUGCUGCGGGUCGUCUAUGUAAAAGCCGGAUGAGGUUUUUCCUUUUGUCUUGUUUUAUGUCCUCAGAGCUUGGCUUAAGUAAUUAAACUUAAGAUAAAAAUGAUUGUCCAUAUCCAAUGUAAAUUCCCCUUCUUGAAAUCCAGCCCCAUCUGCCUGUUUUAACUUCCUUUUUCCCCACAAGAUUUACAAGAUUUGUGACCAGUGAGAAUAUUCUCUCCGGUCUCCACCAUCCACAAGAUGGAAUUACCAGAGGGUACUGUGGUGGCCUGUCAAGUAGAAUGAGGUUCUGAGACACACAGUUACAAGCAGUACUCUCAUUGUCUGGCCUUGCCAGCAAUUGGGAGUUAUAUGUUAUAAGAGGUCCCAGCCCAUAAGGGACCCUUGUCUUCAUAACCUCCAUUAGUGCUAGAAAAGUCUCAUUACAGUAGUGCCUGCCCCAUGUCACAAAUUAGUGGGUCUGUGACUAGAGAUGUCUCACAUUUUUGUGGGAGACCAAAGGUAUUAUUUUCUUUACACCAUCUUAACUGCCUGUGCAAUGAAGGCCUGUGCUGUCUUAGUCUAUUUUGGGAGUAAAAUUUUGGACCAUGGGGGAUGUAUCAUCUAUACCCUCACCCAGGAUGCCUCUUGGGUUCUGGUCUAAGCCUGAAGAAUUGCCUUUAGGUUUUCCCAUAAAAAGCCUUAAUCGUUUGAGUCAUGGUUGAGAUUAGUAAGAUCCUACUCAUCAUUGCCAGACGAUGGAUCCUUUCAAUUGGCUAUAUUUGAAAGAAAAAUAUUAUUUACAGAGAGUUUUCAAUUAUCUUAUUAGGAUGAUGGCUACCCUUUGAAGCUCCUUUGACAAGAUGAAAGAACAGUAAUUAAACUUAAGAUAAAAAUUAUUGUCCAUAUCCAAUGUAAAUUCCCCUUCUUGAAAUCCAGCCCCAUCUGCCUGUUUUAACUUCCUUUUUCCCCACAAGAUUUACACAGAGCACUCCAGCCUAAUUUCUAGGUUCAAUAUAUACAGGUUAAUCAUGUAAAUGCCAAAAGCCAGGAAAUAAACUUAACAGUUUAUUAUUAAACUUAACAGACUGACAGUAAGGCCUACUUUGCUCCUGCUUUUCAGGGCUCCAUAAUUGGACUCUGCCAGCUUCAGGCAUUUCUAUGCAAUAUCCUUUAUAGAUGUAUCCUAGACACUCCCACCUUCACCAUACAUGCGAUAAAAUUUAUGCCCGCUGGACAGCAGCAUAGCCCUUUUACUUCCACUUUCAGAAGUUCCUACCAAAUUUAGAGAGGAAUUAGGAAGAUUAGUGGUCACCCACAACACCCCCACCCCUCACACAAACGGAUGACCAAAAUGUCUCCUAGGAGACAUUUGGCCUAAUAGAGGCCAAGGUUAAAUUGUAUACCUCAGAAAGAGGUUUUUGUAAAAAAUGCUUUGUACAGACUUUUCAAAGGCAUAAGUAUUUUGACUCCCAUUUUAGUUAUAAAUCUCCCUGAUAUAGGAAGCAAGUUCCAUUUUAAAAGGCAGGUCAGUCCCUUGACACCCUAGUACUUUGUGGAAAUUAAAGAAAACCUGCCUUUGUCUUGCAAAUCUCUAAUGUGUUAAAAGACUAUCGCUUGUAAUUCUACUUAUUAUCUUGAAUUAUGUGUCACAGAAGUAACCAAAUUUCCAUCUCAACUGCAUCGUGAAUUCUAAUCAUAUUUUUAACCACUGUCAUUUUUAAAUCUUUUAUCAUUUAUAAACAGCUUUACUUUUAUUCAAUGCUUUCACAAGUGUUGCUACAAAAAUGCUUCAUCUUCAAGGAAACUCAUGAAAAACACUCUAGGAUACAGGUUUCUGAGAACUUUAAGAUCUUUAAGUAAAAAAUCCAGAGUUAAUGGAAAAACUGGAUUCAAACAAAACAAGAAUAAUUCCACGUGAGUGAAUAAACUGAUGAAGAGGAGUAAUAUAAUUUUUAUGACUUUUGGUUAGAAAUAUUGUUGAUUUUUUUUGAGAGAGAGAGAGAGAGAGAGCGCGCGCGCACAUACAUGAGCGGGGGAGAGGUAGAGGGAAAGGGAGAGAGAAUCUUAAGCAACUCCAUGCCCACUGUGGAGCCCAACUGAUAGGUCUAUCCUAUGACUCUGGGAUCAUGACCUGAGCCAAAAUCAAGAGUUGGAUGCUUAACCGACUGAGCCACUCCAGUGCCCCAAAACAUUGCUGAUUUUUAAGAAUGUUUUAUUUCCAGAUUUAAGAAAACUUUUUUCCCUUAAGCUAAUGGGUUUACAGCAAUAAAUUACACAUUUGUAAACAGAUUUGAAACCUUUAUCUUCUCCUUACCUGAUCCCCCCCCCCCACCACCCAGAAUGUGGAAACUCUCUGUUACUUUAUAUUUUCAUGGCAAUAUAUUUAUUUGCAUGAAUUCAAUAAGACUGUUCUCCUUGUAACAGGACACAAUUGGAAACAUGGGCUAUAUCAUCAAGGCUUUGACGGGGAUGUCAUAUUUGAGGGAAACAUGCAUAGACUCAGAUAUGACCAAAUAGCUUUAAGGAACUGAAGUUGACUUAAUGGAGCUAAUAAAGCCCAUUGCAAAUAUCAGCCUGACACCUUGCUUACAGAGUAACCGGCAGCCUUACAAGGUAAGUAAGGAAGAUCACUUCAUUGUAGGUACAAGAACCUCAGGACAUUUUGGGGACAUCAAGAAUAAAGGAAGUAACACAAAUUCAUAGGUAUUGUAGGCAAAGUUUGAUGACAAGUGUUUGGCUAGACUUCUUAGCCUCGAGAGUCUAUUAAAAUUUCAGUCUGAAGAUUCCUUAUGAAUAGUUCCAGCAAAGCAGAUUUAAAAGACCACAAUCAAUUACUAUACUUGCUGUCCUUAUGUAAAGAAGGCCAAUUUUAAUAAAAGCAAACUUAUUUUAUAGACAAGUUAGUCUUAAUUUGGCUAACUUUGAAAAUGAGGGUGACCUCAGAGAGAAAAAUUGUUUCAGUAAUACUUUUGUGGAUAUUAGAUUCCAGUUCUGUUGACUAUCUUUGAGGUUUUGUGUUCUACCUGUAAACCAGACUAGAUUCUGAAUUCUGAUGUCUUGUGACUGGCUACAACUCUCCAAACAAUGUUUCCGAUUUUCUCCCAUCCUUUUGAUUUAGAAUCAUUGAGAAUUAAAACAGACUUCUCUCCCUGAAGCCCUGCAUACUAAAUAUGAAUGACUUGAUAUAAACUUCAGGAAAAUCAGCACAAUAGAUAACAUAAAGGUAAUUUUCAUGCCUGAUGCUCUCUGGGCCAUUCAAAAAACUCAGGAGAGACAUUCAAACUACACACUAGGAAAAUCCCUCAGACUUCCAUCACCUUCCCUCGCUGUAUUUGAAGACGCUUCAAGCCUGACAUCUAUGCAAGUGGUUGCAGACGGCCCCAGCUCCGCACCCCUGGAGUGCCCUGCCUACAUGAGGCUGACAGACUGGGUCAGGCUAAGUGGG
This 11241-nucleotide long non-coding RNA is filed under the name Lynx pardinus (Iberian lynx). Lineage: Eukaryota; Metazoa; Chordata; Mammalia; Carnivora; Felidae. The record is from RNAcentral.